GACGAACGCUGGCGGCGUGCUUAACACAUGCAAGUCGAACGGUGAAGGGACCGGUUUUUGCUGGUUCUGGAUGAGUGGCGAACGGGUGAGUAACACGUGAGUAACCUGCCCCCUUCUUCUGGAUAACCGCAUGAAAGUGUGGCUAAUACGGGAUAUUCUGCGCCUGCUGCAUGGUGGGGGUGGGAAAGAUAUUGUUUCGGUGGGGGAUGGGCUCGCGGCCUAUCAGCUUGUUGGUGGGGUGAUGGCCUACCAAGGCGGUGACGGGUAGCCGGCCUGAGAGGGUGGACGGUCACACUGGGACGGAGACACGGACCAGACUCCUACGGGAGGCAGCAGUGGGGAAUAUUGCACAAUGGGCGCAAGCCUGAUGCAGCGACGCCGCGUGAGGGAUGGAGGCCUGCGGGUUGUAAACCUCUUUCGCCAGUGAAGCAGGCCUGUCCCUUUUGUGGGUGGGUUGACGGUAGCUGGAUAAGAAGCGCCGGCUAACUACGUG
Molecule: ribosomal RNA, 493 nt
Filed under: uncultured bacterium
Lineage: Bacteria
Description: partial 16S ribosomal RNA
Rfam family: Bacterial small subunit ribosomal RNA
Source: RNAcentral